UAAGGAAUAUUGGUCAAUGGACGCAAGUCUGAACCAGUCAUGCCGCGUGAAGGAUGAAGGUCCUCUGGAUUGUAAACUUCUUUUAUCUGGGACGAAAACGGGAUUUUUAUCUCAAUUGACGGUACCAGAGGAAUAAGCACCGGCUAACUACGUGCCAGCAGCCGCGGUAAGACGUAGGGUGCGAGCGUUGUCCGGAUUUACUGGGCGUAAAGGACGCGUAGGCGGCCCGUUAAGUGUGAAGUGAAAUCUCCAGAGCUCAACUCGGAAACUGCUUCGCAUACUGGCAGGCUAGAGGAAUGCAGAGGUAGCUAGAAUUCCUGGUGUAGCGGUGAAAUGCGUUGAUAUCAGGAGGAAUACCCAUGGCGAAGGCAGGCUACUGGGCAUUAUCUGACGCUGAGGCGUGAAAGCGUGGGUAGCAAACG
RNAcentral lists this ribosomal RNA (422 nucleotides) under uncultured bacterium. RNAcentral's name for it is "bacterial SSU rRNA". It matches the Rfam family "Bacterial small subunit ribosomal RNA", at positions 355 to 774 of the family's 1533-position model. The record is from RNAcentral.